RNAcentral lists this long non-coding RNA (517 nucleotides) under Manihot esculenta (cassava). Its description in RNAcentral is "long non-coding RNA (MESC_LNC009981)". Lineage: Eukaryota; Viridiplantae; Streptophyta; Magnoliopsida; Malpighiales; Euphorbiaceae. The record is from RNAcentral.
UUUUAUGUUGUUACAUGUGAUGGACCGAGUUUGACAUAGGGUAUGCUGACCCUAGGGGUUUUAUGAGUUCAGUUAUAGUGCAUACACAGGUCAAACUGGUUAAAGGUAAAGUUUUAAAUGUUUUAUGAAAAUGUUGGAUCAUGUUUGGGAUUAUACCAGCUGUACAGGAUGCAUAGUAGGCUUGCUACGGGUCCCGGCGGCCUUAUGCCGAUCUGGAUCCUAGCGCCGGUAGUGGUCCGGAUUUUCGGGUCGUUACAGAAUGGUAUCAGAGCCUGGUUUCACAUGGUCGGACCUAUAGUGUGUGACGCGGAACCCUAUGGCACAAGCCUCAAACCCACACGCACAAGUAGAUAACGGAAUCCAAAGAUCUGAUAAACCCACCUCCUAUGGCACCCCAAACUUAGAGAAGCUGAAACACCAUUGAUCGAAGGAUUUAGAUGAGAAUCUGACAAACGCCACAACGAAUAGUUGAUAAGUUAGCCAAGAUUCCUGGUGCAAUUGAUGAAAGCAAAUCCUC